AGAGUUUGAUCAUGGCUCAGGAUGAACGCUAGCUACAGGCUUAACACAUGCAAGUCGAGGGGCGGCAUGAACUUAGCUUGCUAAGUUUGAUGGCGACCGGCGCACGGGUGAGUAACACGUAUCCAACCUUCCGUUUACUCAGGGAUAGCCUUUCGAAAGAAAGAUUAAUACCUGAUAGUAUGGUGAGAUUGCAUGAUAACACCAUUUAAAGAUUUAUUGGUAAACGAUGGGGAUGCGUUCCAUUAGG
Molecule: ribosomal RNA, 247 nt
Filed under: uncultured bacterium
Lineage: Bacteria
Description: partial 16S ribosomal RNA
Rfam family: Bacterial small subunit ribosomal RNA
Source: RNAcentral